Olea europaea var. sylvestris is the source of this 370-nucleotide long non-coding RNA. RefSeq lists it as uncharacterized. The record is from RefSeq and is a predicted model, not a curated record. The transcript has 2 exons. NCBI's taxonomy places the organism in Eukaryota, Viridiplantae, Streptophyta, Magnoliopsida, Lamiales, Oleaceae.
UUAAGGCAAACUGUGUAUUAAUCAGUGGUGCUCUGAACAUGUUUUGUUGAUGGUCAUCUAAUCAAUCCUGCACUUUGUAUGCAGCAUUUGUGGUAUAAUUAGAUGAUCAUCAACAAACAUCUUCAUUACUCCACCUCCUUCAUUGACUUUCAACUGGUUGGGCUAACUAGCUACAUUUUUAUCCAAGACAAAGAGCGUUAAAAAUCUCUGUGGCGGCUGAGAAAGACUGGACUGAAGGGGAAGAUAAAGAAGGAACUGGGUUUCAUCAAUCUUACUGGAAAAUCAUAUUCUUUUACUUCAAUUUUGGGUGUGUUUUCUCUUUUAUCAAAAAGUUAUGAUUUUUAACAUUGGUUCUCUGUGAUUGUGUGUA